GGAUAGAUGUCCGAGUGGUUGAAGGAGCACGCCUGGAACGCGUGUGUGGGGCAACUCGCCGUGGGUUCGAAUCCCACUCUAUCCGCCA
Molecule: transfer RNA, 88 nt
Filed under: Campylobacter corcagiensis
Lineage: Bacteria; Pseudomonadati; Campylobacterota; Epsilonproteobacteria; Campylobacterales; Campylobacteraceae
Description: tRNA-Ser
Rfam family: tRNA
About the family: Transfer RNA (tRNA) molecules are approximately 80 nucleotides in length. Their secondary structure includes four short double-helical elements and three loops (D, anti-codon, and T loops).
Source: RNAcentral